Molecule: ribosomal RNA, 491 nt
Filed under: uncultured Proteiniphilum sp.
Lineage: Bacteria; Pseudomonadati; Bacteroidota; Bacteroidia; Bacteroidales; Dysgonomonadaceae
Description: bacterial SSU rRNA
Rfam family: Bacterial small subunit ribosomal RNA
Source: RNAcentral
GCUCAGAAACUACAAGGAAUUGACGGGGGCCCGCACAAGACGGAGGAACAUGUGGUUUAAUUCGAUGAUACGCGAGGACCUUACCCGGGCUUGAAAUGCAUCUGACCGGCCUUGAAAGAGGCACUCCCUUCGGGGCAGAUGUGUAGGUGCUGCAUGGUUGUCGUCAGCUCGUGCCGUGAGGUGUCGGCUUAAGUGCCAUAACGAGCGCAACCCUCAUCAUUAGUUACCAUCAGGUAAGGCUGGGGACUCUAAUGAGACUGCCAUCGUAAGAUGUGAGGAAGGUGGGGAUGACGUCAAAUCAGCACGGCCCUUACGUCCGGGGCGACACACGUGUUACAAUGGGUGGUACAAAGGGCAGCUACCUGGCGACAGGAUGCUAAUCUCGAAAACCGCUCUCAGUUCGGAUCGGAGUCUGCAACUCGACUCCGUGAAGCUGGAUUCGCUAGUAAUCGCGCAUCAGCCACGGCGCGGUGAAUACGUUCCCGGGCCUU